Molecule: ribosomal RNA, 388 nt
Filed under: uncultured Desulfocapsa sp.
Lineage: Bacteria; Pseudomonadati; Thermodesulfobacteriota; Desulfobulbia; Desulfobulbales; Desulfocapsaceae
Description: bacterial SSU rRNA
Rfam family: Bacterial small subunit ribosomal RNA
Source: RNAcentral
GUGGAAACACGAGAGUGCCUCGCAAGGAGGAGCCUGGAGACAGGUGCUGCAGUGGCUGUCGUCAGCUCGUGUCGUGAGAUGUUGGGUUAAGUCCCGCAACGAGCGCCAACCCUAUUCUUUAGUUGCCAUCAUUGAGUUGGGCACUCUAAAGAGACUGCCGGUGUCAAACCGGAGGAAGGUGGGGAUGACGUCAAGUCCUCAUGGCCUUUAUGACCAGGGCUACACACGUACUACAAUGGCCGGUACAAAGGGCAGCGACACAGCGAUGUGAAGCGAAUCCCGAAAAGCCGGUCUCAGUCCGGAUUGGAGUCUGCAACUCGACUCCAUGAAGUUGGAAUCGCUAGUAAUCGCGGAUCAGCACGCUGCGGUGAAUACGUUCCCGGGCCUU